Molecule: ribosomal RNA, 1259 nt
Filed under: metagenome
Description: bacterial LSU rRNA
Rfam family: Bacterial large subunit ribosomal RNA
Source: RNAcentral
GAUGAGUAUUUUAAGCGCUUGAGAGAACUCAGGAGGAGGAACUCGGCAAAUUGACACCGUAACUUCGGAAGAAGGUGUGCCCUAUUAGUGUGAAGUGAACAACGGAGCAUGAAUGGGUUGCAAAAAAUCGGUGGCUGCGACUGUUUAUUAAAAACACAGCACUCUGCAAACACGAAAGUGGACGUAUAGGGUGUGACGCCUGCCCGGUGCUGGAAGAUUAAAUGAUGGGAUGCAAGCUCUUGAUUGAAGUCCCAGUAAACGGCGGCCGUAACGAUAACGGUCCUAAGGUAGCGAAAUUCCUUGUCGGGUAAGUUCCGACCUGCACGAAUGGCGUAACGAUGGCCACACUGUCUCCUCCUGAGACUCAGCGAAGUUGAAAUGUUUGUGAUGAUGCAAUCUCCCCGCGGAAAGACGGAAAGACCCCAUGAACCUUUACUGUAGCUUUGUAUUGGACUUUGAACAGAUCUGUGUAGGAUAGGUGGGAGGCUUUGAAGCAGGGUCGCUAGAUCUUGUGGAGCCAACGUUGAAAUACCACCCUGGUGUGUUUGAGGUUCUAACCUAGGUCCAUUAUCUGGAUCGGGGACAGUGCAUGGUAGGCAGUUUGACUGGGGCGGUCUCCUCCCAAAGCGUAACGGAGGAGUUCGAAGGUACGCUAGUUACGGUCGGACAUCGUGACGAUAGUGCAAUGGCAUAAGCGUGCUUAACUGCGAGACUGACAAGUCGAGCAGAUGCGAAAGCAGGACAUAGUGAUCCGGUGGUUCUGUAUGGAAGGGCCAUCGCUCAACGGAUAAAAGGUACUCUGGGGAUAACAGGCUGAUACCGCCCAAGAGUUCAUAUCGACGGCGGUGUUUGGCACCUCGAUGUCGGCUCAUCUCAUCCUGGGGCUGUAGCCGGUCCCAAGGGUAUGGCUGUUCGCCAUUUAAAGAGGUACGUGAGCUGGGUUUAAAACGUCGUGAGACAGUUUGGUCCCUAUCUUCCGUGGGCGCUGCAGAUUUGAGGAAGCCUGCUCCUAGUACGAGAGGACCGGAGUGGACACACCUCUGGUGUAUCGGUUGUCACGCCAGUGGCAUUGCCGAGUAGCUAAGUGUGGAAGAGAUAACCGCUGAAAGCAUCUAAGCGGGAAACUCGUUUCAAGAUGAGAUCUGCCGGGGCCUCGAGCCCCCUGAAGAGUCGUUCAAGACCAGGACGUUGAUAGGUCGGGUGUGGAAGCGCAGCAAUGCGUUAAGCUAACCGAUACUAAUUGCUCGUGCGGCUUGACC